UAGAUACCCCACUAUGCUUAGCCGUAAACAAUGAUGGAAUCUUACAAACACCAUCCGCCAGGGGAUUACGAGCAAAGCUUAAAACCCAAAGGACUUGGCGGUGUCUCAAACCCACCUAGAGGAGCCUGUCCUAUAACCGAUAAUCCACGAUUAACCUCACCCUUCCUUGUAAAAUCAGCCUAUAUACCACCGUCGCCAGCUUACCUCAUGAGAGACCAAAAGUAAGCUAAAAGGGCACAGCCCAGAACGUCAGGUCGAGGUGUAGCCGAUGGAAGGUGGAAGAGAUGGGCUACAUUUUCUGAAACAGAAUAUCACGAAAGGCGUUAUGAAAAAAACGCAAUUGAAGGUGGAUCUAGCAGUAUCAUGACCGUGCAAAGGUAGCG
RNAcentral lists this ribosomal RNA (383 nucleotides) under Muraenesox cinereus (daggertooth pike conger). RNAcentral's name for it is "partial 12S ribosomal RNA". It matches the Rfam family "Bacterial small subunit ribosomal RNA", at positions 779 to 1362 of the family's 1533-position model. Lineage: Eukaryota; Metazoa; Chordata; Actinopteri; Anguilliformes; Muraenesocidae. The record is from RNAcentral.